ACUCCUACGGGAGGCAGCAGUGGGGAAUAUUGGACAAUGGGCGCAAGCCUGAUCCAGCCAUGCCGCGUGUGUGAAGAAGGCCUUAUGGUUGUAAAGCACUUUAAGCGAGGAGGAGGCUACUUUAGUUAAUACCUAGAGAUAGUGGACGUUACUCGCAGAAUAAGCACCGGCUAACUCUGUGCCAGCAGCCGCGGUAAUACAGAGGGUGCAAGCGUUAAUCGGAUUUACUGGGCGUAAAGCGCGCGUAGGCGGCUAAUUAAGUCAAAUGUGAAAUCCCCGAGCUUAACUUGGGAAUUGCAUUCGAUACUGGUUAGCUAGAGUGUGGGAGAGGAUGGUAGAAUUCCAGGUGUAGCGGUGAAAUGCGUAGAGAUCUGGAGGAAUACCGAUGGCGAAGGCAGCCAUCUGGCCUAACACUGACGCUGAGGUGCGAAAGCAUGGGGAGCAAACAGGAUUAGAUACCCUGGUAGCGUCGU
RNAcentral lists this ribosomal RNA (473 nucleotides) under uncultured bacterium. RNAcentral describes it as "bacterial SSU rRNA". It matches the Rfam family "Bacterial small subunit ribosomal RNA", at positions 335 to 798 of the family's 1533-position model. The record is from RNAcentral.